GGUGCUUCUUCUUCGGAAGAUGUAACCCGGCGGACGGCUCAGUAACACGUGGAUAACUUGCCCUUGGGUCCGGGAUAACCCCUGAGAAAUUGGGGACAAUACCGGAUAGGGCAUCGAUUGCUGGAAUGCGCGAUGUCCAAAAGCUGAGGCGCCCAAGGAUAGGUCUGCGGCCGAUUAGGUUGUUGUUGAUGUAAUGGAUCAACAAGCCUGCAAUCGGUACGGGUUGUGAGAGCAAGAGCCCGGAGAUGGGUUCUGAGAAAAGAACCCAGGUCCUACGGGACGCAUCAGGCGCGAAAACUUUACAAUGUGCGAAAGCACGAUAAGGGAACUCUGAGUGCCUCCUAUGGAGGCUGUUCAGGUGUCUAAAAAGCACUUGAAGUAAGGGCUGGGUAAGACCGGUGCCAGCCGCCGCGGUAACACCGGCAGCCCAAGUGGUAGCCACGAUUAUUGGGUCUAAAGCGUCCGUAGCCGGCCAGGUAAGUUCUUUGGGAAAUUUAACCGCUCAACGGUUAAGCUUUCAGGGAAUACUGCUUGGCUUGGGACCGGGAGAGGUCAGAGGUACUUCAAGGGUAGGGGUGAAAUCCGUUAAUCCUUGAGGGACCACCAGUAGCGAA
RNAcentral lists this ribosomal RNA (614 nucleotides) under uncultured archaeon. RNAcentral's name for it is "bacterial SSU rRNA". It matches the Rfam family "Archaeal small subunit ribosomal RNA", at positions 57 to 670 of the family's 1478-position model. The record is from RNAcentral.